UCAGGUUAAUAUCUUCCUUCCAACUUCAUGGAGUCAACAACUGAUUCAAGAGGAUUGGCAUAGUGUCGAUGAGACUUACUCUGGAAAAAACAAUCUGCCAUGUUGUGAGCUGCACUAUGGAGAGGACCAUGUGGCCAGGAACUGACAUCUCUGACCAACAGCCAGUGAUGACCCGGGGCAUGCCAACAGCCAUCUGAGUGAACCUGGAAGUGCACCUUCUGAGUCUUCCCACAUAGACUGAACUUGAAAGUGUAUCCUUCCUCAGUUGAGCCUUGAGUUGACCAUAGCUCUUGCCAAUACUUUUGACUGACUGCAGCCUUGUAAGACACCUUGAGUCAAGGGCACCCAGCGAAGCUGUGCAUGAAUUCCUAACCCACAGAAACUUUGAGAUAAUAAAUGUUUAUUGUUUUGAACUGCUAAGUUUUGGGGGUAAUUAGAAACAGCAAUAGGUAACUAAUACACUUGAUCUCAUUGUUUAUUCUCAAAUGUAUAUAUAUUUCUCCUUAGAGAAAACAUUUUAAGAAAUGGUAGAUGUAACAACUAAUGUGAACAGUAUGGCAGUUCCUCAAAAAAUUAAACAUAGAAUUACCAUGUGACCCAACAGUUUCCUUCUAGAUCUAUACCCAAAAAAUUGAAAACAGAGACUCAAACAGAUAUGUGUACACCUAUCUUCAUAGCAGCAUUAUUCACAAUAACCAAAAGGUAGAAACCACAAAAGUUCCCACUGACAGAUGAGUGAACAAACAAAAUGGGAUGUAUACAUACAAUGGAUUAUUAUUCAGCCUUAAAAAGGAAGAAAAUUUUGCCAUAUGCUAUAAUAUAGAUGAAACUUGAAGACAUUAUGCUAAGUGAAAUAAUCAUACAAAUACUGUAUAAUGCUAUUUACAUGAGAUUCCAGAAGUAGUCGAAUUCAUAGAGGCAGAAAGUAGAAUGAUGACUGAUAGGGGCUGGGAGGGAGGAGAGAAUGGGGAGUCAUUGUUUAAUAGGUAUGGAGUUUCAGUUUGAGAAGAUGAAAAGAACUCUGGAGAUGGAUUGCAGGGAUGAUUGCACAACAAUGCUAAUGUAUUUAAUGUCACUGAACUGUACACUUGAAAAUAAUUAAAGUGGUGAAUUUU
This is a non-coding RNA of Vicugna pacos (alpaca), 1115 nucleotides long. The record is from RefSeq and is a predicted model, not a curated record. Lineage: Eukaryota; Metazoa; Chordata; Mammalia; Artiodactyla; Camelidae.